AGAGUUUGAUCCUGGCUCAGGACCAACGCUGGCGGCGUGCUUAACACAUGCAAGUCGAACGGAGCACCCCUGAAAGAGUUUUCGGACAAUGGAAGGGAAUGCUUAGUGGCGGACUGGUGAGUAACGCGUGAGGAACCUGCCUUCCAGAGGGGGACAACAGUUGGAAACGACUGCUAAUACCGCAUGACACAUGGCCGUGGCAUCACGGACAUGUCAAAGAUUUAUCGCUGGAAGAUGGCCUCGCGUCUGAUUAGCUAGUAGGCGGGGUAAUGGCCCACCUAGCGGACGAUCAGUAGCCGGACUGAGAGGUUGACCGGCCACAUUGGGACUGAGAUACGGCCCAGACUCCUACGGGAGGCAGCAGUGGGGAAUAUUGCACAAUGGGGGAAACCCUGAUGCAGCGACGCCGCGUGGGCGAGGAAGUACCUCGGUAUGUAAAGCCCUAUCAGCAGGGAAGAAACAGGACAGUACCUGACUAAGAAGCCCCGGCUAACUACGUGCCAGCAGCCGCGGUAAUACGUAGGGGGCAAGCGUUAUCCGGAUUCACUGGGCGUAAAGGGAGCGCAGGCGGCAUGGCAAGUCUGAUGUGAAAACCCGGGGCCCAACCCCGGGAGUGCAUUGGAAACUGCCAGGCUGGAGUGUCGGAGGGGUAAGCGGAAUUCCUAGUGUAGCGGUGAAAUGCGUAGAUAUUAGGAGGAACACCAGUGGCGAAGGCGGCUUACUGGACGACUACUGACGCUGAGGCU
This 746-nucleotide ribosomal RNA is filed under the name uncultured bacterium. RNAcentral's name for it is "bacterial SSU rRNA". It matches the Rfam family "Bacterial small subunit ribosomal RNA", at positions 8 to 753 of the family's 1533-position model. The record is from RNAcentral.